CCUACGGGGUGCUGCAGUGAGGAAUAUUGGUCAAUGGACGAGAGUCUGAACCAGCCAAGUAGCGUGAAGGAUGACUGCCCUAUGGGUUGUAAACUUCUUUUAUAUGGGAAUAAAACGUUCCACGUGUGGGAUUUUGUAUGUACCAUAUGAAUAAGGAUCGGCUAACUCCGUGCCAGCAGCCGCGGUAAUACGGAGGAUCCGAGCGUUAUCCGGAUUUAUUGGGUUUAAAGGGAGCGUAGGUGGAUUGUUAAGUCAGUUGUGAAAGUUUGCGGCUCAACCGUAAAAUUGCAGUUGAAACUGGCAGUCUUGAGUACAGUAGAGGUAGGCGGAAUUCGUGGUGUAGCGGUGAAAUGCUUAGAUAUCACGAAGAACUCCGAUUGCGAAGGCAGUUCACUGGACUGCAACUGACACUGAGGCUCGAAAGUGUGGGUAUCAAACAGGAUUAGAUACCCUUGUAGUC
RNAcentral lists this ribosomal RNA (460 nucleotides) under uncultured bacterium. Its description in RNAcentral is "partial 16S ribosomal RNA". It matches the Rfam family "Bacterial small subunit ribosomal RNA", at positions 338 to 795 of the family's 1533-position model. The record is from RNAcentral.